This 4237-nucleotide long non-coding RNA is filed under the name Mus musculus (house mouse). RNAcentral describes it as "long non-coding RNA chr9:49681349-49685586". The record is from RNAcentral. Lineage: Eukaryota; Metazoa; Chordata; Mammalia; Rodentia; Muridae.
GAGAGGGAUUUGAGAUGUAGAUCUGUUUCAAGAGUGCUUGCCUAGUAUGCAAGUUAUCUUGGGUUCCAUUCCCAAUACUGCAUAAACAUGUAUAGUGGCACACUCGUCUGUCACUCUGGGAUGUGGGAGGGACUCAAGGUCAUCUUCAGGGACACAGAAAGUGUAGGACAAAGUUCAGCCAGAGACCUGCUUUUAUUAUUGUCCUUGUUGUUAUUAUUAUUAUUAUUAUCUUUGUUAGAACUUGGUUUGUAGCCAGGCACAGUCAUAGAUGCCUUGAAUCCCAGUACUCAGGAAGCUGGGGCAAGAGGAAGAUAGAGUUGAGUUUGGGGAUAGCCUGGGUAAUGAGCAAGUUCUAGGCCAGCCAGGGCUACAUAGUAAGUCUCAACAAGGAAAAUCAAAACACAAAUGAACAAAAAGAAGUCAGCCUACGUCCCGGUAAGAAUUCAGCGUGCACACAGUCCUCUUUGUUCUUUUGCUGCCUUUUCUUUUGAAUCUCCUUAUUCUUUGCCCCAGUGGGAAAGAGGAGGACCCAGGUUUGGAUUCUCAUGCCAUCACAAUGAUUAUUCCCUAAGCCACAGACCAAAUCCAAGGCCUGUGUGAGGCUCUGCGUGUAAGACUCCCUAGCACUGGCUCUCCUCGAUUCAUGGUGCACACGAGUUAUUUACUGCCCUCAGCACCAACCCUGGGCAUGGUUCCCUUGUUAAGUAAUUAUCCCCUUCACCUGUGCUGCAGCCCUGCCCUCUAACCUACUUUCUUCCUCUUAGCAUUUUCAUCCAGACCUUCCUAGCCUCUCAUGCAUGUCUAAUUUCCAGUUAUUAUAAGCUGCUAUUCCCAAGGUUAUAACUACAGCAAUGAACUAUGUCUGGUACUGGAACCCUGAGUGGCCUACAAAACCCCCACAUCCAAUCAAACAUCUGCACAACACCAUCUUGAAACCGAUCAUUUGGGCAGAAUCUAUCCCUGGUAGAAAGCACAGAAACAGUGGAGUGGGGAGCCCACGGAGCAGAGCGGCAGCAGGGGAGAAUAAAAAUAUGUUUGAGUAAGCAACUUUCGGUCUUCCCAGCUGUUUGAUCUGGGGCAAGGUACUUAACCCCCUUGAGAAGCAGUUAGCUUCUACCUUAAAAUAGACAUAUACUUGGGGUGUGUGUGUGUGUGUGUGUGUGUGUGUGUGUGUGUGUGUAGGGGAGAGGGUCUUUUUAUGGAUUGGUGCCAGCUGCCCACACACUGCCCCAUACAUACUCCAUCCAAUUCAUACUGUCUGCGCAGCACAUACUCCAAGACACUUUUAUUCUAUUUGUAUGCUUUCUUUUGGAUAUUAUCACUUUCAUUAUCCAUGCAUACAUACAUGCAUGCAUGCAAUAAAUGUGUUUGUGUGUCUGUGUCCAUGUAUAUGAGAGUGAGUUAGUGAGUAUAUGUGAGUGUGUGUGUAUGUGUGUGUGUGAGAGUGUAUGUAUGCGCAUGCACACUCACACUGCUGUGUAGACCAGAGGUGGAUAUUUGGUGUCCUUCUUAAUACUCUCCAUCUUGCAUUUUUCAAAGGCUUAUUAUUGACUUAUGCCUUUCUCUGCGUGUGUGCCUGUGUGUGCCUGUGUGUGCAUGUAUGCAUGUGUGCCAUGUAUGUGCAGAUAUCCAAAGAGGCCCAGAAGAAGGUGUCACUCAUUUUGAAGGUGGUUAGGAACAGCCUGACUUGCCCUCUGAAAGAGCAACAUGUGAUCUUCAACACUGAGUCUUCUCUUCCCUUCUCUCUGAAGUCAUGAUCUCUCAUUGACGUUGGCGCUUAGAAGAUUGUCUGGCCAGGAAAACCUCAGGAAUCCUCCUGUCUCUGUCUUCCCAGCACUUGGCUUGCAGGCACAUACUAUACCUAGACCACAGCCCUCAACCCCAAGCCCUCAGCACGGGUUCUGGGGAUCUGAAUUCAGGUUCUUUUGCUUACACAGCAACUUCUUUACCCAGCGAGCCGUCUCCCCAGCUCCUGUUUAAAGCCUUCAAGUACAGCUUACUUCAUGACUAUGUUUAGUACCCGUGGCCCAUCUUCCACACUGGCAUUUGAGCUAAGAUACAGGGAUCUUUGGCCUCCUGUGGAUGAUGCACUCCUUCAUCCCUAGUGCAAGAACAGUUCCUGGUCCCAGCAGCUGCUGAUGUGUGCUGAAUGAGCAACUGCCAUAAGGAGUAGGAAUUAGGCAGUGGCUACCUGUGUUACUUGUGAUCAUCUCGCCCUGCGGAGGGUUGAAUUUCUGCAAGGGCUUUCACUUCCCUAUAUGUCCAUUCAAAGCAAUUUAACCAUCUCAUUUCUGCCCUCCUUCUCAUGUACUAGAACUUGGAGAGCUGAAGGCAAGUGAACGGAGACUUAUGUUAACUUGACUUUCUCCAAACAUUGCCCUAGCUAAUGCAGUCAUGUGGCUGACAGUACUGUGGCCUCCUGGUUCUGUGUCUGUGUUUGGAGGAAGCAAGGGAAAAAAUAACUUGACAGUCAUCACCCCCAUCACUCCUUCCUUGGCCUCUGUGUUUCAUGUACUCUCUACAAGUUCAAGCGUUUGCACACUGCAUGCCGCUACAAAUCACUUGGCAGACGUAAAGUCACUUCUCCAUAGCACUAAAUCUUCUCACAAGCUUUGUUGUCUUGCUCAGUAGUAGGGGACUCUUCCUUUCCAGAAGUUGUGUUAAUCUUAUACCUAUUAAUAUGGGUCAGCAAUAGUCUUGCAUACUAAUCCAAGCGCGAAAAAAAUGAUCAUGAAUGCUAGCUAAAGCAUGCAAGGAACGCUGUUUUUCCUAUUAGGGUCUUUGAACUUAGCAACUAGUGGGGCAUGCUAUCAUGUAAUAUUAGUGAGCUCAGAGAGGACAGUUAAGGAUUCUUAACUCAUAGCUAGCCACUGAGAUUAUAAGACAAAGCCAAUUAAAAUACCACAGGCACAAAGCAGAAUAAUUCAGUGCAGAAAAAAAAAAUCUCACAGAGUUUGAAAAUAUCCUUUUUGUCAGUCUAAUGUAUACAUUUCACUUCGUGCGAUGUUGAGCUAAUACUCUGAAAACAAAACUCUUGGUCCCAUAAUAAAAUAAAGUGCUAGAGACAAGAAUACUUUGAAUUACUUUAGGGAAGAAAAAUGAAUUCUUGGUUCAGUUCAUCCAAAUAAACAUUACCACCUUCCUUUGGGGAAAAUUCACUUCCUUAAUGUGUGAUUAUCAUUAUUAGGCCUCUUUGUCUUCCUCCUUUUUCAAUGCCUCUCCCAGGCUGCUCGCUUGUAAAACAAUUUGCACAUUUUCUCCAACACAAAGCUAUCCUCAUUUUUCUACCCUUUCCAACAGACCUACUCUGUGAACUGCUGGUAUAUGCCACUCCAAAGCCAUGAAAGAGAAAAAUGGAUUCAAUUCAGUAAAUUUAAACCUGAUUAAUAGUUUACAUGCUCUAAUGUUUUAAAAAAGAAACAAGACUAAUUUUUAAGCUCUCAAGGAAAAAAAAAACCAACAACAACAAACAUAUUCCAAACCAUUCGAAUUUAAGCCAGAUGUGGGGUUUCAGGAAAUGUGCGGAUCAGGCAAAAAUCUUGUUUCUAAACUGUUUUGCUAAUUUUACGUUUUCAAUAAACACUAGUCCCAAUUAUAGCUGUCUUAGCCCAAAGCAAAACAAUAAUAAGAAUGUCUUUUAACACCUCCACUAAACUUCAGAAAAACAAGUCAAUAAAGAUAUGAUCUAUCUAUGAAAAAUGGUUUUGUUAGAAGCUGACUUUCAAAGCCUCAUUCAUAUGCAGGGGUGUUAAGGGUGCACUGGAAAGCAGUGGGGGUGGGUGGACGAUGAGGGGUGGAGGGGCAGAAAGAACGAAGGGAAUGGGCCACAGAAGGGUUCCUCCACACCCCUCAGGCCUAUCAACGCCUGUCUUUUGUCACUUACCAAACACAGGCUUCAGCAGAUGGGACACACAGUGUAGCUCUGCAUGCAGAUUUUAUAGUCGGUAGCAUCCCCAAGCUCUUGGCUCACCUCAGUACCACAUCAAAUGGAUGAGAGAAACCAACAGGGCCCUUGACUUUUGACUGAUCACGCUGAACUCGCCACGAGGUUCCGACCUCCACUCAGAAGGAAGCCUACCGGAUGAACGGAUCCUUCCCACAACCCCGACAACACAACACUCUUCGGAGUAUCUUCAAAGAUCAUAAAAUGUAACUUAUUCACUCUCAGUCUCCCUAAUCCUUGUCUUUUGUUUGUGUCUUUCGAACAGAGGCUCAUUCUGGAGCCCAGGCUGGGCGG